This 891-nucleotide ribosomal RNA is filed under the name uncultured bacterium. Its description in RNAcentral is "bacterial SSU rRNA". It matches the Rfam family "Bacterial small subunit ribosomal RNA", at positions 99 to 1026 of the family's 1533-position model. The record is from RNAcentral.
CGCACGGCUGAGGAACACGUGGGAACCCGCCCCCCGGUGGGGGAUAACGCGACGAAAGUUGCGCUAAUCCCGCAUACGUCCUUCGGGGGAAAGCGCAGUGCGCGCCGGGGGAGAGGCCUGCGGCCAUCAGGUUGUUGGUGUGGUAACGGCGCACCAAGCCACUGACGGGUACCCGGUCUGAGAGGACGGCCGGGCAGACUGGGACUGCGACACGGCCCAGACUCCUACGGGAGGCAGCAGCAAGGAAUUUUCCCCAAUGGGCGCAAGCUGAGGGAGCAACGCCGCGUGGAGGACGACGGCCUUCGGGUUGUAAACUCCUUUCGGGUGGGACGACCGCGACGGUACCACCAGAAGCAGCCCCGGCUAACUCUGUGCCAGCAGCCGCGGUAAGACAGAGGGGGCAAGCGUUGUCCGGAGUUACUGGGCGUAAAGGGCGCGGAGGCGGUCUGCGGCGUCGGCGCUGAAAGCGCCCGCUUAACGGGGCGAAGCGUGCCGAUACGCGCAGACUUGAGGCGAGCAGAGGGUGGUGGAAUUCCGGGUGGAGCGGUGAAUGCGUAGAGAUCCGGAGGAACGCCAGUGGGAAGCCGGCCUCCUGGGCUCGUCCUGACGCUGCGGCGCGACCGCGUGGGGAGCAAACCGGAUUAGAUACCCGGGUAGUCCACGCCGUAAACGAUGCCAGCUCGGCGUGUGCGCCGGUCGUGCGCUGCGUGCCUUAGCUCACGCGAUAAGCUGGCCGCCUGGGGACUACGAGCGCAAGCUUAAAACUCAAAGGAAUUGACGGGGGCCCGCACAAGCAGCGGAGCGUGUGGUUUAAUUCGACGCAACCCGAAGAACCUUACCCAGACUGGACAUGACGGUGCAGACGGCGGAAACGUCGUCGCCUGCGAGGGC